CGGAGAGAGUGGCGCACGGGUAGCGUAACGCGUGAGCAACCUGCCCAUAUCAGGGGGAUAGCCCGGAGAAAUCCGGAUUAACACCGCAUGACACGCCGGGACGGCAUCGUUCCGGCGUCAAAUAUUCAUAGGAUAUGGAUGGGCUCGCGUGACAUUAGCUAGUUGGUGGGGUAACGGCCCACCAAGGCGACGAUGUCUAGGGGCUCUGAGAGGAGAAUCCCCCACACUGGUACUGAGACACGGACCAGACUCCUACGGGAGGCAGCAGUAAGGAAUAUUGGUCAAUGGGGGCAACCCUGAACCAGCCAUGCCGCGUGCAGGACGACUGCCCUAUGGGUUGUAAACUGCUUUUGCCGGGGAAUAAACCCCACUACGUGUAGUGGGCUGAACGUACCCGGAGAAUAAGGAUCGGCUAACUCCGUGCCAGCAGCCGCGGUAAUACGGAGGAUCCGAGCGUUAUCCGGAUUUAUUGGGUUUAAAGGGUGCGUAGGCGGCACUUUAAGUCAGGGGUGAAAGACGGCAGCUCAACUGUCGCAGUGCCCUUGAUACUGAAGUGCUUGAAUGCGGUUGAAGACGGCGAAAUGAGACAAGUAGCGGUGAUAUGCAUAUAUUUGUCUCACAACACCGAUUGCGAGGGCAGCUGUCUACCCCGUUAUUGACGCUGAUGCACGAAAGCGUGGGGAUCGAACAGGAUUAUAUACCCUGUAGUCCACGCCCUAAACGAUGAUAACUCGAUGUUUGCGAUAUACCGUAAGCGUCCAAGCGAAGCGUUAAAAGCGUUAAGUUAUCCACCCUGGGGAGUACGCCCGCAAGGGUGAAACUCAAAGGAAUUGACGGGGGCCCGCACAAGCGAGGAGCAUGUGUUUAAUUCGAUGAUACGCGAGGAACCUU
Molecule: ribosomal RNA, 891 nt
Filed under: Sphingobacterium daejeonense
Lineage: Bacteria; Pseudomonadati; Bacteroidota; Sphingobacteriia; Sphingobacteriales; Sphingobacteriaceae
Description: bacterial SSU rRNA
Rfam family: Bacterial small subunit ribosomal RNA
Source: RNAcentral